Molecule: RNase P RNA, 282 nt
Filed under: Candidatus Woesebacteria bacterium RIFOXYA1_FULL_48_16
Lineage: Bacteria; Candidatus Woeseibacteriota
Also listed under: 3 other names
Description: RNase P RNA component class A
Rfam family: Bacterial RNase P class A
About the family: Ribonuclease P (RNase P) is a ubiquitous endoribonuclease, found in archaea, bacteria and eukarya as well as chloroplasts and mitochondria. Its best characterised activity is the generation of mature 5'-ends of tRNAs by cleaving the 5'-leader elements of precursor-tRNAs.
Source: RNAcentral
UCUGGAGGAAGGAUGAUCGCUCGCCUUUGGCGAGAGGAAAGUCCAGGCAGCUGAAAGCAGGGUGUCCGCCGUAAGGCGGAGCGGGUAACCGCCAGUCAGAGCCACAGAAACUAUGUCGGCCAACUUACCCUAAAGGUAGUCGGUACGAGUGAAAAGGGGCAAUCCUCCCCGCUGCAACCUCCGAAAGGGUCGUUUGAGGUCGCUUUCCCGAGACCCAAAGUUUGAGGGCUUAGACAGAUGAUCGUCUAAAAACAGAACCUGGCUUACUAGCCUCCAGAAUAU